AGUGAACGCUGGCGGUAGGCCUAACACAUGCAAGUCGAACGGCAGCACAGUAAGAGCGUGCUCUUACGGGUGGCGAGAGGCGGACGGGUGAGGAAUACAUCGGACUCUACUUUUUCGUGUGGGAUAACGUAGGGAAACUUAAGCUAAUACAGCAUACGACCUACGGGUGAAAGCAGGGGAUAUUCGGACCUUGCGGGAUUGAAUGAGCCGAUGUCGGGUUAGCUAGUUGGCGGGGUAAAGGCCCACUAGGGGGACGAUCCGUGGCCGGUCUGAGAGGAUGGUCCGGCACACUGGGACUGACAGACGGUCCAGACACCUACGGGAGGCAGCGGUGGGUAAUGGUGGACAAUGGGGGCAAUCCUGAUCCAGCCACACCACGUGGGUGAAGAAGGCCUGCGGGUUGUAAAGCCCUUUUGUUGGGAAAGAAAGGCAUCAGGUUAAUCCCCCGCUGUUCUGCCGGUACCCAUAGAAUAGGCCCCGCCUAACUUCUU
Molecule: ribosomal RNA, 491 nt
Filed under: uncultured bacterium
Lineage: Bacteria
Description: partial 16S ribosomal RNA
Rfam family: Bacterial small subunit ribosomal RNA
Source: RNAcentral